Molecule: non-coding RNA, 110 nt
Organism: Armillaria borealis
Lineage: Eukaryota; Fungi; Basidiomycota; Agaricomycetes; Agaricales; Physalacriaceae
Source: the annotation of a GenBank genome assembly
GGUAACAUGGCCGAGUGGUCUAAGGCGCUGGAAUUAGGUUGGCGAUCGAUCGAUCGAUCGCUUACGUAAUCCAGUCCUCCGGGGCGUGAGUUCGAACCUCACUGUUAUCA